RNAcentral lists this ribosomal RNA (433 nucleotides) under uncultured bacterium. RNAcentral's name for it is "partial 16S ribosomal RNA". It matches the Rfam family "Bacterial small subunit ribosomal RNA", at positions 29 to 507 of the family's 1533-position model. The record is from RNAcentral.
AACGAACGCUGGCGGCAUGCCUAACACAUGCAAGUCGAACGAGACCUUCGGGUCUAGUGGCGCACGGGUGCGUAACGCGUGGGAACCUGCCCUUAGGUUCGGAAUAACUCCCCGAAAGGGGUGCUAAUACCGGAUAAUGUCUUCGGACCAAAGAUUUAUCGCCUUUGGAUGGGCCCGCGUUGGAUUAGCUAGUUGGUAGGGUAAAAGCCUACCAAGGCGACGAUCCAUAGCUGGUCUGAGAGGAUGAUCAGCCACACUGGGACUGAGACACGGCCCAGACUCCUACGGGAGGCAGCAGUGGGGGAUAGUGGACAAUGGGCGAAAGCCUGAUCCAGCAAUGCCGCGUGAGUGAUGAAGGCCUUAGGGUUGUAAAGCUCUUUUACCCGGGAUGAUAAUGACAGUACCGGGAGAAUAAGCUCCGGCUAACUCCGUG